GGGCGUGUGGUCUAGUGGUAUGAUUCUCGCUUUGGGUGGGUUCAAUUCCCAGCUCGCCCCAUUUACUUUUCA
RNAcentral lists this transfer RNA (72 nucleotides) under Saccharomyces cerevisiae PE-2. RNAcentral describes it as "tRNA-Pro". Lineage: Eukaryota; Fungi; Ascomycota; Saccharomycetes; Saccharomycetales; Saccharomycetaceae. The record is from RNAcentral.